UUCUCUUGUAUUCCAAGUGAAGACACCUAUCUUCCUCUUCAUAUCCGAAUCUUGUGGUCGAGUCUGACGAAUUCUCCAAGAGAUGUCUAUAUUAACUCCUUUUUUGCUUGAUCCAGGCUGCGACUCGUUGCUCACUUAUUACUGUGAUACUUGUCAGCUCCUUUAAGAAGGUCAAGAUGUGACGGCUCUCGAAUAAUCUUU
RNAcentral lists this long non-coding RNA (201 nucleotides) under Gossypium barbadense (sea-island cotton). RNAcentral's name for it is "long non-coding RNA (GBAR_LNC009245)". The record is from RNAcentral. Lineage: Eukaryota; Viridiplantae; Streptophyta; Magnoliopsida; Malvales; Malvaceae.